Molecule: ribosomal RNA, 109 nt
Organism: Anser brachyrhynchus (Pink-footed goose)
Lineage: Eukaryota; Metazoa; Chordata; Aves; Anseriformes; Anatidae
Source: Ensembl
GUCUACAGCCAAAACACUUGAUCUUACGUGAGCUUGGAAGCUAAGCAGAAGCUGGGGACAGUUAAUACUUGAAUGGGAGAUUUUCUGGGAAUAUGGUGUGUUGUAGGCU